Long non-coding RNA from Nasonia vitripennis (jewel wasp), 1483 nucleotides. RefSeq lists it as uncharacterized. The transcript has 4 exons. The record is from RefSeq and is a predicted model, not a curated record. NCBI's taxonomy places the organism in Eukaryota, Metazoa, Arthropoda, Insecta, Hymenoptera, Pteromalidae.
AUUUUCAAGAUGUUAUUAAUCAUUCAAAACACAGCGAUAACUGGUAGGAUCCUCAUGGGGAAAUCGGAGCUCUUCAUAUCAUGACUCCAUUGAGAGAAAAGUUUGUCAGAGAUGUCUUGGCUAAUGUUGGUUUUGAAGAAACAAACCCGUCUUCCUCUUGAAGGUAUCAAAUUAUUAGAUGUUGGAUAUCGUCGAGGAAUCCUAUCAAAGCCAAUUUAAACUAUGUACACACAUCAAUUGAAUAUUAUUUACAAAAACAAAAAGAAAAAUUCAAUGCAGUUGUUGCUUCUGAAAUCCUUGAACACGUGAUUGACCAAGAAUUAUUUUGAAAGAUCCUCGAGUCAGAGCCCAAGCAUUUGCAAUGAUGGCUAAACUUCACACUCACAGGGGUUGCAGGAUCAUUAAAAGAUGUAUCUCAUCGCCAUAAUAAUAUACUAAACAUAAAUAAAUAAUUAUGAAUCAUUCAUAGGUGCUCAAAAGAAGCAGGUCCUAGUGCAAAUUAUUGUAAAAUUUUGGCAGAGAGGAAGGAUAUUGCACGUCAAGAUGCAUUAGAAGAUAACUAUGAAUAUUACGUGAACAACUUGAAGUCUACAAAGUCUACAAUUUGGUUGAAUCUAGAGCAUUGGAGAGCGUAUUAUAGAAUAUGAUUGGCAGACUAUAUUAUACGAUUAUUGAGGAUGAGAAAAAGCUAUUUUUGAGGCUCCUCCCAAGACUGCCAUCGAAGCUGCUGUACCGGCUGCUGUACCAGCUACAAUCGGAUCUGCUAUCAGAGCUCUUUUUGGGACUCCUGCAACUGACAUCGAGGCUGUAGUGGAGGCUAGUGUACCAGCUGCAAUUGGAACUCCAAGAGAUGUUUAUAUAUUGAUGUGCGUGUUAAAGUUCAACGCGAUCAUACACAAUAAAAUACUUUGCAUCAGGUCAAUGGAGCUAUAGAUAGCUUAGUUAUGGGCCUUCGCAAUGAUCUUAAUGGAACAAGGCAGCGCUGACCAUCUUUUAUGAAUGCAUGUUCAACGCAAGGCAUGGGACACUGACAAAACUUUUGAAACAGCCAUCUUAGGGUGCACCUUCGAUGAUUAGAAAAAAAUCAAGAAGAGACUGCAAGAUGCAGACUUCUGAUGUUAUAUUUUUAAUGAAAAAACGUUACAUGAUUAAUCAAAAUACUUCCGAAUACAGCAUUUUUUUAUUUGUAUAACAUACAUCAUAAUCUAUUAGCUCGGUUUCAUUCAAAGAAUGUCUAAUAAAUUUUCUAAAAUAAAUGCAAUUACCAAAUACUUGAAUUUGAAGGCACGUGCAACAUUAUCUGUUGAUUAAUGUAACUUGAUAGUUUCUAGUUAACGGUUAUUGAGGUUUAAAGGAUGGUUUUAAAUUAUACUAACCUUCGGCCACACCAUUUUGCUUUCGCUCAUUCGUUAGACCUGCUGUUGAAGCAAAUUUUUUGAUUUACUCGUGGUGACUAUACCAAAAUUUUUUAAGUCGUUUCAAU